Molecule: transfer RNA, 105 nt
Filed under: Teucrium scorodonia
Lineage: Eukaryota; Viridiplantae; Streptophyta; Magnoliopsida; Lamiales; Lamiaceae
Description: tRNA-Leu
Source: RNAcentral
GAAUGAAUAUUCGAUUUUUUCUUCAAUGUGGAAUCAAUUCACACCAAUUCUUCCAUUUUUCAUAUUAAAAAAUACAGAUUCGGGGUCAUCAUUAAUCAUUUGAUA